Molecule: non-coding RNA, 317 nt
Organism: Malus domestica (apple)
Lineage: Eukaryota; Viridiplantae; Streptophyta; Magnoliopsida; Rosales; Rosaceae
Source: RefSeq, a predicted model, not a curated record
GAGGGUGCAAUACCAAGUGAAGAAAUACACCUUGAGAAGAGCUCUUGGGUUGUCAAUUGUGACUGGAAAUUCUACUCCUCACAUGGAUCAUAGAAAUAUACAAUACCAAGGUUGGUGAUAUUUCUUCUUCAUUGUGAACAAUCAGGUUUGAGUGGCACUUUGAAUGCAACAAAACUGAAAUAAGGAUCUUCAGUUGUUCUUUUUGGACUUGGUUCCAUUGGCAUUGCUGUUAAAUGUCUUAUUCAUGUGGUUAAGGCUGGUGCAUUCAAGUCCCACAGCAACGCGCGGGCAUUUUUGCUAGUCUAUUCUAAAAUUGA